AAUGCCAUUGAAAGAUAGGAGUCGACUUUCUGUUCAAGAAACAGAAGCCGUUUCAGCGAGAUACUCACGCAGGCAAUGGAAAAUUCUAGGGUUCUUCAUAACUCACUUAUUUUUGAACUCAGAAUCAAUUGUUUGACGAAUAUAAAUUGGACCGGGGUCUACGUAUUGGCUCGAGGAGUAUUGAGGAACCGGAUUUGCAGGCGAGCAGGCU
This is a non-coding RNA of Nicotiana tabacum (common tobacco), 211 nucleotides long. The record is from RefSeq and is a predicted model, not a curated record. Lineage: Eukaryota; Viridiplantae; Streptophyta; Magnoliopsida; Solanales; Solanaceae.